GUCGACGGGAUUUAGUAAACAGAAGCUUCGGUGGAAGAUUACUAAUGAGAGUGGCGAACGGGUGAGUAACGCGUGAGCAACCUGCCUAUGACAGUGGGAUAGCCUCGGGAAACCGGGAUUAAUACCGCAUAAAAUCGUAGAAACACAUGUUUUAACGGUCAAAGAUUUAUCGGUCAUAGAUGGGCUCGCGUCUGAUUAGCUAGUUGGUGAGAUAACAGCCCACCAAGGCGACGAUCAGUAGCCGGUCUGAGAGGAUGAACGGCCACAUUGGAACUGAGACACGGUCCAAACUCCUACGGGAGGCAGCAGUGGGGAAUAUUGCACAAUGGGGGAAACCCUGAUGCAGCGACGCCGCGUGAACGAAGAAGGUAUUCGUAUCGUAAAGUUCUGUCCUAUGGGAAGAUAAUGACAGUACCAUAGAAGAAAGCUCCGGCUAAAUACGUGCCAGCAGCCGCGGUAAUACGUAUGGAGCGAGCGUUGUCCGGAAUUAUUGGGCGUAAAGGGUACGCAGGCGGUUUAAUAAGUCGAAUGUUAAAGAUCGGGGCUCAACCCCGUAAAGCAUUGGAAACUGAUAAACUUGAGUAGUGGAGAGGAAAGUGGAAUUCCUAGUGUAGUGGUGAAAUA
Molecule: ribosomal RNA, 624 nt
Filed under: uncultured bacterium
Lineage: Bacteria
Description: bacterial SSU rRNA
Rfam family: Bacterial small subunit ribosomal RNA
Source: RNAcentral